Molecule: ribosomal RNA, 658 nt
Filed under: Shigella flexneri
Lineage: Bacteria; Pseudomonadati; Pseudomonadota; Gammaproteobacteria; Enterobacterales; Enterobacteriaceae
Description: bacterial SSU rRNA
Rfam family: Bacterial small subunit ribosomal RNA
Source: RNAcentral
CGCAAGGUUAAAACUCAAAUGAAUUGACGGGGGCCCGCACAAGCGGUGGAGCAUGUGGUUUAAUUCGAUGCAACGCGAAGAACCUUACCUGGUCUUGACAUCCACGGAAGUUUUCAGAGAUGAGAAUGUGCCUUCGGGAACCGUGAGACAGGUGCUGCAUGGCUGUCGUCAGCUCGUGUUGUGAAAUGUUGGGUUAAGUCCCGCAACGAGCGCAACCCUUAUCCUUUGUUGCCAGCGGUCCGGCCGGGAACUCAAAGGAGACUGCCAGUGAUAAACUGGAGGAAGGUGGGGAUGACGUCAAGUCAUCAUGGCCCUUACGACCAGGGCUACACACGUGCUACAAUGGCGCAUACAAAGAGAAGCGACCUCGCGAGAGCAAGCGGACCUCAUAAAGUGCGUCGUAGUCCGGAUUGGAGUCUGCAACUCGACUCCAUGAAGUCGGAAUCGCUAGUAAUCGUGGAUCAGAAUGCCACGGUGAAUACGUUCCCGGGCCUUGUACACACCGCCCGUCACACCAUGGGAGUGGGUUGCAAAAGAAGUAGGUAGCUUAACCUUCGGGAGGGCGCUUACCACUUUGUGAUUCAUGACUGGGGUGAAGUCGUAACAAGGUAACCGUAGGGGAACCUGCGGUUGGAUCACCUCCUUACCUUAAAGAAGC